CUCAAAACAGGAUGUAUUCUUAUUUUCUGACAUCAGUAGAGACAUUUUCAGGCAGUGUUGGUUUUGGUAGAAGCUAUGAUUAUCUUGGAAUGUGGAAUCCUCUUUAUGUUAUGAUUGAGUUGUUUAUAGGUUUUGAAGCAUUGUUGGCUUACAUUGGAAUUAUUGGGAACUACACUUACAAUUAUUCCCAGUCAGUUUAAAGGAUCACUAUAGUGUCAGGAAAACAAACUUGUUUUCUUAACACUAUAUAAUCCUUAGGUCCCCCCAUCCAUCCGGGCCC
Molecule: non-coding RNA, 280 nt
Organism: Pelobates cultripes (western spadefoot toad)
Lineage: Eukaryota; Metazoa; Chordata; Amphibia; Anura; Pelobatidae
Source: the annotation of a GenBank genome assembly